GGCGGCAUAUGUCGGGAUACGGUCAUGGUAAAAAGUCAGUAUUUAUACUGGUUCAGCCCACUGCCGGCGGGUUCGAUCCCCGCUGCCGCCUA
Molecule: transfer RNA, 92 nt
Filed under: Bacteriophage sp.
Also listed under: 1 other name
Description: tRNA-OTHER
Source: RNAcentral